This 908-nucleotide long non-coding RNA is filed under the name Malus domestica (apple). Its description in RNAcentral is "long non-coding RNA (MDOM_LNC017100)". Lineage: Eukaryota; Viridiplantae; Streptophyta; Magnoliopsida; Rosales; Rosaceae. The record is from RNAcentral.
CAUAUGCUUUGGCCAAAGACUCUCGAAUCAUAUCUUAGAGUAUUAUCCUUCCACCAUGGAAGGUUAGAGAUCCCUUGUUGUACAUUCAUAUGCCUACAUGACUAGAUAGCUUGACCCCAACAAUGCCGUGGACACUCCAAUGGAAUGCCUUUGACAUGAUCAAAGAUCAAGGACCUAACCAUUAGACAUCUAUGAUGCCUCAGGUGAAAGGACUACUUUGCAUAUUGCAACUAUCGAGUUCUUACAUGACAUGUAUGUUCGAACUCUCUUUUAAUCGUUGUUCAGUGUACUCGAUUACUCUUUCGAGCACCUAUGUGUUUAUCUUAGUGUCCAACACUAAAUGACUUGAGACUAGUCAUACUCACGCUUGAGUUAACAUAACACAUACUAACCUUAGCAGAUUGUCAAUGCCUAAUUGGCAAUCGUAUGGCUAGGAAUGUUUUAGGAAUGAACAUAAGAGAAAGGUCUCGAUAAUCUAACUCACUUAGAUCACUUAUCUCUUAGAUCAAAUACAUUCCUUGGAUUCCCUUAUUGCUUAAUCACAUGAUACAAUAAAUAGUGAUUAACAAUAAGCUUUGCCCUUCAUUAAACAUAUAAACGUUUAAUACAAUAAGUAUUCCAAAAGCUAUUACAUCAAAUGAGUGACUUUGUGGGCAUACUUCCAACAAUCUCCCACUUGCACUCAAAGCCAUCAUCCCAUGUAUCUAAUACCCAUCCUUUCCAUAUGACGGUCAAGCUGGAUUUGAGACAUUGGCUUUGUCAGUGGAUCUGCUACGUUAUCGGCUGAAGCAACUUUGAGAAUGUUGACUUUCCCCUCGGCAGCAUAUCUUCUAAUGAUAUUAAAACGCCUGUCAAAAUGCUUGUUCUUUUGAUGUGCCCUGGGUUCCUUGGCUUGAGCUAUCGCCCCA